Long non-coding RNA from Triticum aestivum (bread wheat), 2338 nucleotides. RefSeq lists it as uncharacterized. The record is from RefSeq and is a predicted model, not a curated record. The transcript is spliced from 3 exons. NCBI's taxonomy places the organism in Eukaryota, Viridiplantae, Streptophyta, Magnoliopsida, Poales, Poaceae.
GACACGAUAGUUGGGAGCUGAGGGUUUCAGGAACCCUAACCAGUGAAGUCAUCUUUCUCUAUUCGCUCGCUCGGGCAGCGGAUUGGAUCGAGGAUUCGAGGCCGACCGCACGAGCACGCCGCCGCCGCUUGGAAUCGCCUCGCCGCCGCCACCGGUAGCCGGCAAGAUCCAAGGCGUGAAAGCACAUAUAUAACUGGCUGGAGAGCAUGGGGCAGCAGCAAAGCAGGCUUCCAGUAUCUCAAGACAUUGUCCUCGAAUGUGGCGACACUAGCGGAAAAGCUAAAGAGGAGAGGUAAUUCUAGGACACAUCCUCGUUCGUGAAUUCAAACUCUGUAUUAGUGUCCUCUUGAGUAAUACUCGCUCGCUCCUUCCAUUACAUAAUAUAUUUCAUGGUGCAUUUAACGAAACUAAAUUUGGUGUGUUCUAUUUAUUUUUUGUUUAUCCUUGUAUUGUUGUAUUGUAGGGAAAAUCUACUACUCCAAUCUUCAAUCUUCAAUAUUCCACGUCUGUAUUAGUGAGUACUUUGCAUGUGUGCCCAUGCGACCAAUAUUCCCUUGGGAUUUUUGCCUAUAUGGAGAAAGCACAUGCAUGUAUGCACCAAAAAAAAAAUCCACCUCAUGUUGACAUCAUCACAUUAAUCCUGAAUUUUUUUAAGGAAUGAUUAAUAUGAUUAGCGACCAGUCUUCACUGUUGAGUUUGUCUUGACGAAGGCUUCGAAACCACAUCCCAUGUUGACAUGUUUUGAUGAUUUUUGUUGUCGCCACCCGUUGAUAGAUUAUGUUACUGUAAUUGUCAUUUUAGUAGCGAACGGUUGUCAUGAUGAUUCUGUACACCUAGCAAUACUUCUGUAUAGUCUCAUGUCUCAUUCUUGCAUGCAAGAGAGAGGGGAGGAAGCCACAUCAUGGGAAAACAUCCAUGUGGCUACCUGUGUGUGUGUGCAUGUGCGUGUGUAUGUGCUAUGUAUGACUUAAUGAUGAUACUUUUGGCAUGCUUUGUUGAUAUCAUUCAUCGUGCAACCUUUGAUCAUCAGCACAAGAAGUGUGCAACCUUUAAUCAUCAGCAAAAGAUGGGCACAACCUUUGAGCAACCGACCUUUACUUGAACCUGUUUUGGGUGCGGUGCCAAUACUACCCGAUCCUUCGAUUUCUGUACAUGGACAUGGUUUGGGUGAGUUGCUGCCAGAGCUGAUCACUAUUCAAACUGCUUAUGUUCGUGUUGUCAACUCUCCUUUGAUUUCUUUACAUGGGCCUUGGUUGGGUGAGGUGCGAGGAAUGAUUAGUGGAGUCAAACUACUUUGAUUGGGAGUUUGGUUGAGCAAGACAGGGUUGAUUUGAUCAGCAAAUAUAUCCCGCCAGAACCUGUUGAGAUGUGCAAAUUGACUCUUACUGGCCAGACCUUUUUUUGCAAUUUUCUCUAUCCACACCAAUUUAUGCAAGAUCAAGUCCAUCGUAGCGUAUGAUGAUCAUGGUGGAGUUCUCAUCUACGAGUACAAGAAUGGAGAUGAGGAGCAGUUUAUUAAAAGAAGAAACCUGUGGCUGUCAAAGCAUAUAGGAAAAAAAACUUCUAGUUUUGUGGAUUCACUUGUUCUCGAUGACUCGAGCCGUGCCAUGUCCGCUUAUGCGGGGUGCUGGAUCAUUGAAAUGGAUGUGCCAGUUGAAUCUUCUUUGCUGCCUGAAAGCUUUGCAACCGAUGAAAUACCUGGGCAAGUAUUCGAGACCACAUUAGAUUUGGAUGAUGGUUUCCUUGACAAACCGAGGAGCAGUUUGGUUUCGGUCAGAGGGGGAUUUAUAUAUUUCACGUCUGUAGUUUUCACUAAUGCAUUCCAAUCUUCAAUCAAAUUUAUACUCCAUGCUUGCAUGGAAGAAAAUAUCCAAUUUCUUCAGUACGCUAAAGUGCAGGGAGAGCUUACAUUAAUUGUAGGAGAUUUCCCCACUGGAUACACUAUUUUCAAAAACAAGGUUGAGGAUGAUGCUGUGGAUUUCAUGACCUGCAAUCCCUGCAGAGACGAUUGUAGAGCGUUCGAGCUUCCCUUAACUCGGGUCAUUCUUGCUUUACCCAUUGGAUAUCGUGUACGUGUUACGGGGAAUUUGUCGGUGGGACAUAUGAGAAUGGUUGUAGAUCAGUAUUUGGUGCUCGACAGGAAUAUUGUACUGGUUGAAUGGGCAGUGGAUCAAUUUUUUGAUGCUACUAUAUGCAUCGAGUCAACUUCUUUUUUCUAGUCUACUCUGCACAUCAGGCAAGAGCACAUGAUGUACUUUGAAUGUUUUAUAGUUUUUCGUUAGUAGAACUGCUGCUGAAUGCAAUUGCAAUGUUGCUCUUUAUAGUUGAUAUGUCAAGA